AAGGUGGACGAAGAAGAUGUGGUGUCGCACAUCCUUGCCGGGCUGGAGGAGGAGUUCGACCCCGUGGUGUCUGCCAUGUGCUCACGGGUCGAACCGGUGACUAUCCCGGAGCUGUACUCGCAGCUACUGAGCUUCGAGA
This 139-nucleotide small nucleolar RNA is filed under the name Triticum aestivum (bread wheat). RNAcentral describes it as "Small nucleolar RNA Z247". It matches the Rfam family "Small nucleolar RNA Z247". From Rfam's summary of the family: Z247 is a member of the C/D class of snoRNA which contain the C (UGAUGA) and D (CUGA) box motifs. Lineage: Eukaryota; Viridiplantae; Streptophyta; Magnoliopsida; Poales; Poaceae. The record is from Rfam by way of RNAcentral.